This 796-nucleotide ribosomal RNA is filed under the name uncultured Bacillota bacterium. Its description in RNAcentral is "bacterial SSU rRNA". It matches the Rfam family "Bacterial small subunit ribosomal RNA", at positions 9 to 799 of the family's 1533-position model. The record is from RNAcentral. Lineage: Bacteria; Bacillati; Bacillota.
AGGGAGUUUGAUCCUGGCUCAGAACGAACGCUGGCGGCGCGUUUUAAGCAUGCAAGUCGAGCGGCAGUAGCAAUACGAGAGCGGCGGACGGGUGAGUAACACGUGGGUAAUCUGCCUACCAGUCGGGGAUAGCCUGUGGAAACACAGGAUAAUACCGGAUGCGAUGCCCUGCACACAAGUGCGGGGUAGGAAAGGGGCCAAGGCCCCGCUGGAAGAUGAGCCCGCGUCCCAUUAGCUAGAUGGCGGGGUAAAGGCCCACCAUGGCGAUGAUGGGUAGCCGGCCUGAGAGGGUGAACGGCCACAUUGGAACUGAGACACGGUCCAGACUCCUACGGGAGGCAGCAGCUAAGAAUCUUCCACAAUGGACGAAAGUCUGAUGGAGCGACGCCGCGUGGGCGAUGAAGGCCGUGAGGUUGUAAAGCCCUUUUCUUGAGGAGGAAUAAGCGGAUCAGGGAAUGGGUCUGCGAUGACGUGAAUCAAGGAAUAAGCCCCGGCUAACUACGUGCCAGCAGCCGCGGUAACACGUAGGGGGCGAGCGUUGUUCGGAAUCAUUGGGCGUAAAGGGCGCGCAGGCGGCCGGGUAAGUCUGGUGUAAAAUGGUCAUGCUCAACAUGAUCAUGCGCUGGAAACUGCUUGGCUUGAGUCAACGAGGGGAUGCCGGAAUUCCAGGUGUAGGGGUGAAAUCUGUAGAUAUCUGGAAGAACACCGAUGGCGAAGGCAGGCAUCUGGCGACUGACUGACGCUGAGGCGCGAAGGUGCGGGGAGCAAACAGGAUUAGAUACCCUGGUAGUCCCCU